This is a long non-coding RNA of Chiroxiphia lanceolata (lance-tailed manakin), 3992 nucleotides long. RefSeq lists it as uncharacterized. The record is from RefSeq and is a predicted model, not a curated record. Lineage: Eukaryota; Metazoa; Chordata; Aves; Passeriformes; Pipridae. The transcript is spliced from 3 exons.
CUCGUGACUCCAGCCAGAGCCUACUGUGUUUUCAUCGGAGAGCUCUGUGCCCACUGAGGGAGAGAGAAGAGGAGCCUGGAGACACUGUCACCUGGGAACAACGACCCUCAUUAGGUGCUAUAAGGUGUCCUGGAGCAUUGUCUUCUCCAGGUUGAACUCCAGCUCUCUCAACCUGUCCUUAAAGGAGAGGUGAUCCAGCCUUAUGAUCAUCUUAAGUGACCCUUCUCUGGAAUUGCUUCAGCAGAUCCAUGUCCUUCUUAUGCUGGGGACCCCAAAGCUGAACACCAUACUCCAGGUUUAAAUGGGAAAUAGAAGAAGAUGAGAACACUCAUGGAUCAAGACAGUUUAACAGGGAAAGUAAAAGCUCUGUGUGCAAGCAGAGCAAAAAGAGGACUUUAUUUGCUUUUCUCAUCAGCAGUUGUCCAACCACUUCCAGGGAAGCAGAACCUAAGCACAUGUUGCUUGCACAGAGAAAUAUCAUAAUCACAGACAUCUACCCUUCCUCUGCACCUCCCUGAGGAUCUAUUGCUGAGUGCUGUGGUAUAGAUCACCUGUCUUGACUCUAUCAGCUCCCAGCCUCAAGCCCAGCCCCAGCUUAUGUGAAGGAGAAAAGAAAGCAUUUGAAGGAAGGAAGUACUGUUCAGCAAUAGCCAAAACACGAGUGUGUUAUCAGCACUGUUUUGCCUACGAAUACAAAGCAAAGCCAUAUAUCUAUGCCAUGUAUCUUCAUACUACCUAUGAAGAAAUUUUUUUUUUCCUGUCAUUGGUAGUAGUUUUAUAGCACACCUUUCUGAUUUUUCUCUGCAUUUUCUCCCCAGCGGCCUCUCCAGUUCCCAUCUGAGUCUGUUUCAUUGCCAUUUCAUACCCUAUGUAUCCACUAAGUGAUCCGUGGUUAAAUAACUAAAGUUGACAGUGAUGGACUUCUGAGUUAAGACUGCACUCAGGCUUAAGCAGGACACAGUUCGCAUCGCUGAGUUUUUCUUUUUGGUUGUCUCCAUCAGUAAAACUUUAUUAAUUUCAAAGGUUUAUCUGCAGAAUGGGGACUAAGACUUCUUUUUAGUAACAAAAUGCUGGGUGCUAGAAGAUUUGAAUUUGUCAUGUGCACUUUAAGAAUUUGUGCUGGUUGCACCCUUCACAAAGACUUUAUGUUACAUCUUGUCCUUGAGGGCUUUAGCUUGCAUUCUCUAAGAUCCAAAAUGAAGUCCUAGCCUCCCACUGAGUGCACUGUGUAAGUUGUAAAAUGAAAAGUUUGUAGCCAAGCAAGUUUCAUUCUUUUUCAGAUAGGCAGGUCUUUGAAAAGUGUAAAAGUGAGCUUUGCUGCUCCAAACAUGCCCUGCUUUCGCCUGAAGAACUGACGUAAAUAAUACAUCUAAAAAUGCUCACAGUUUAUCGGCUACAACUCACAUUAAGGAGGCAACCAACACAGCACAAUAAAAUUAAAUGGCAUGGAUUUCCUUUGUGUGCUUCACUGUAUUGAGUCUUUUGUCUUUGCAUGUUAUGUUUCCUCAUUAGAAAAGACUUUUUCUGCUCUGCUAAACUAGGACAUAGGAUGCUGCCCACAUUAAGGAGAUCAAAAUUAGCAGCUAACUUUGGAAAGUUUCCAAGACCUCACUUGAGAGUCCUGGGAUUAUGAAGGAUGCUCCUGUGUGAGAUCUAUUCUCUACUGAAGUCUAGUAGGAUUAUUUUUAUAAUUUUUCCAAUUUUUCCCUUAUUAUUAAGUAGGAAAUAGUGUCUUUUCCUCCUGUCAGCAUAGAUAAUUAAAAAUGAAACCAUUUUUAACUAACAUGUUAAUAGUAGUGAGGAGUGUUAAAAAUCUGUUGAAUUUUUCAAAAAGAGGAUAUAUAUUCUGGUAUCAAACUUAAGUACAGUACUUUGCCACAAAAAUAAAUUGUAGUUCAUUUUACACCAUUUAGAACAAUGAGUCUGAAAUAACUCUUCCUGAUGUUCUUUUUUUCCUGUGUUUAUUUUGAACUGCUUGUCACAUAAAAAGAUUGUAAGCUGUGUGUUUCAGUUUUCCUUAUAUUUCUACAAAUUUCCAAACUGUUUUAUAUCUUCUUAAUGUCUGUCUUGCAGACAUCCUGUCCUAUUUUCAGGAUGUCAGCAGUGAAAUUUUUGAGAUACCUUGUCUACUGAUGAUUAUUUACUUUGUAUGUUGGCUAUCAUAGUUAGAUCCAAGUAUUCAUUAUGUCGUAUAUCUAGGUUGGGUCAAAUACAUGAAGUAUAGGGCAAUAUAUUAAUUUCAGUAAAUCCAUGUAUCUUGAGAAUUUUAAUGAAUGUAUAAUGAAUAUAUUAGUUUGUUGCACAAGAAGUUAAACUUUUUAGAUAAGGUUUAUCAGUGCUAAGCUAAAUCCAAAGGUUCAGAUUAAUUUUGGAUGUGAGAGGAUGAUCAUGUUUAAGGUGGAUUUUGUUUUUCUAGGCUAUUUUCUGAAAAAAUUUAACCCUUAAACAAAAGGUUUGCCUUCAUCUAAGGAUCACAAAUCAUACUUCAUGGUAACAUUGUCUUCGUCAAAAGAUAAGUUACUGCUAAGAUUCAAUUUUCUGUUGGUGAAUGUGUUGCACCAACAUUAGUAGUUGUAUCCUACUUUUUUAAUCCAGGCAGAGGCAUGUGAAAUAGCAGAUGUUCAGCUUGAUUUUUCUAUUACAGCUUCCUGCAAUUCCAAAGAAAAGCUUUAAACACUGAUUUUUUUUUUUCUGGGAGGGUGGAUUUUCAUAUUCAAUUUCUGAGAGGCCCUGUGAGAUACUUCUUUAGAAUAAAAAUCUGCAAUAUUAAACUGUAGCAGAGAAAAAAGAUUGAAAUCUCUAGAGGCCAUUAUUUAGAUCCCUCAAGGUUUUUAUAGGAAGGCUCAUGACAAAUGUUGCCACCCUAAAAUUUUAAACAGCCUCACCGUCUUCAUAAAUAACUUCUGGGGAAAAUGGAGUACAGUACAAUAUCCUGCUUAUACAAUACAGAAAAUUCAUGUAUUGCAUAAAAUAAAGUCUGAAUAUUUUAAUACCUGUUCAGGGAUUGUAAUUUGCUCUGCUUGAAAUUAAAUAUUUAUGGAAAUGUAUAGGAGAUUACUAAUGAUUACCAAAAGAUGCAUGAAUGCAUACAAAAUUUUUUACUUAUACUAUGAAAUAAAAAAUAAGCCAUCAUUUAUUUCUGUUCUGUUUAUUAGACAGAAAAGAUUUGGAUAACAGCAGCUUAAAUGAAGUAUCUGGAAAGAUACUGUCAGAAUACUGACAGCUGACCCUUUUGAAUACAUCCAUGUUCAGUAGUGCCAGACUGAAGCAUCGAACAGUUAAAUUUGAGGAAAAAAAGCUUUUGCACAAUUUGGUUGACUUUGGAUAUGACUGAAUAAAACACCAAGUAAAGAAUGUAGUGCUUAUUGCUGAUAGCUGCCAAUAAAGAACCAUAGUUUAUAAUAAAACUUCUGAUAAAUUUUCAAUAAAGUGUCAUAAAGAAAAAGAGUUGAGAAGAGAUUGGUUAAUCAAAUUGGGUAUCCAGAUAUUAUUUGUCAGAAAAAACAAUAUACAGAACAUUUGGACUACAUUUUAUUACUGCUCCACCUGGAUUAUAUUUUUAAAUAGCGCAGGUUCAGAUUUCAAUGUCAGUCUCCAAAGGUUGCAUGAAAAGAAUCAAAAACAGGGACUUUUUUUUCUAUUGCUGCAUGAAGACAUCUGAAACACGUGUGUAUCUUGGUGGCUUAUUGUUUUAACUUUGCAUUAAAAUGUCUACUAUAGAUGGAUUACAAACUGCAAGUUUUACUGAGUCAGAUAAUUGUGUUAUCAAAAUGGAGAAAGAAGUCUUGUUUUUCUUGUUGUUGAUGGCUCUUAGAGUCUUAACAUUAAAUAAUUUUUUACUUUUAAAAGUGUCCUUUACAACUUAGAGAAAAUCUGUAGGAAAGCAAUACAAGUUCUGUAGGAAAUUAAACAGAUUUGGACUUGUAAAUUUGUAGUAAUGCAAAAUCUGACAUAAUAUUCCUGGGUUGUUUUUUUUUAAGUAGAAACAGAUA